RNA transcript from Echinops telfairi (small Madagascar hedgehog), 4465 nucleotides. It is a transcript of the gene named progestin and adipoQ receptor family member 3, with no coding region annotated. NCBI's taxonomy places the organism in Eukaryota, Metazoa, Chordata, Mammalia, Afrosoricida, Tenrecidae. The record is from RefSeq and is a predicted model, not a curated record. The transcript is spliced from 8 exons.
UCCCCGGGGAGGCGGGGUCCGGGCGACUUCCCCUUUCGCGGAGCGACGGCGGCCAGGGACGAUGCAUCAGAAGCUGCUGAAGAGCACACAUUACAUCGAGCUGGGCAGCUACCAGUACUGGCCAGUGCUGGUGCCCCGCGGCAUCCGCCUCUACACCUACGAACAGAUCCCAGUGUCCCUUAAGGACAACCCGUACAUCACCGACGGCUACCGGGCGUACCUGCCCUCCAGGCUGUGUAUCAAAAGUUUGUUUAUUUUAUCGAAUGAGACGGUAAACAUCUGGAGCCACUUGUUGGGCUUCUUCCUCUUCUUCACGCUGGGAAUAUAUGACAUGACAUCCGUGUUACCUUCGGCGAGUGCAUCCAGAGAAGAUUUCGUCAUCUGUUCUAUUUGUCUCUUCUGUUUCCAGGUCUGUAUGCUUUGCUCUGUAGGCUAUCAUCUCUUCUCCUGCCAUCGGUCAGAAAAAACCUGCCGAAGAUGGAUGGCGUUGGAUUAUGCAGGGAUUUCUAUCGGAAUACUAGGCUGCUAUGUCUCUGGAGUGUUUUAUGCUUUCUAUUGUAACAAUUACUGGCGCCAAGUGUACUUGAUCACAGUGCUUGCUAUGAUCCUGGCGGUGUUCUUUGCUCAGAUUCACCCCAAUUACCUUACGCAGCAGUGGCAGCGACUCCGCUCUGCCAUCUUCUGUUCUGUUUCGGGAUAUGGAGUGAUCCCUACUCUUCACUGGGUUUGGCUCAAUGGAGGAAUCGGUGCUCCUAUUGUACAGGACUUUGCACCCCGUGUAAUUGUGAUGUAUGUGAUUGCCCUUCUUGCUUUUCUAUUCUACAUUUCCAAAGUUCCGGAAAGGUACUUUCCAGGACAACUCAACUACCUCGGAUCAAGCCACCAAAUAUGGCACGUCCUUGCAGUAGUGAUGUUAUAUUGGUGGCACCAGUCCACCGUGUAUGUCAUGCAGUACAGACAUGCCAAGCCUUGUCCUGACUAUGUUUCACAUUUGUGAAUUCAGAAUCAGGAAUGAAGAUUCAGGGAUUAUCUGUCACAUCUUAUGGCAUCCUACCUGGACUAACCGAUUUGAAGAUUGUGAUUGACUGGCAUAGAGCUGUACACCUCUCCAUUUGCCAGGAGUGAAUGCCAAGAAUCCAUGAGAAGGAUCUACUGUUUAGAAGGAAAUGGAGCAGCACCAAAUGGAUCUAGUUCGACGGCCGGGGACUGUUGGGGCGGAUGUGAAGGGAUGCUGCGCACCACGAGCUCUGUGAAGGGCACGGCCCCGAAAUCGUCCCUUCUCAAGGCGUCGGCGCUGUGGAAGGCGUGUAGCGAGUUCUGCCGCGGCCGCGUCGGCAGGCCGGCGUGGUGGUCGGCGAGAAGGUCGCUCAGCCCAGGGUGUGAGGAGUGCCUCGCCAGGUCUGGAGGAUGGAAGGGCUUGGCCCCGAAGGGGUCCAGCGGACUUUCCUCAGGCUGCAGGAUAGGCCCUCGGUCUUUCCUGUCGGUCAGGGCAACGCUAAUGUUCUCCUUGGAGUCCGAGAUGGUCAAAAAUUCAUUGCUACUUUGAGAGUCUCGGCGGCCCACCUUUUUGUGCCUGCGAGCUCUCUCUGGGGUGCGGAAGGUGGGUUUCUGGGUCUUCUUUGUGCUGGUGGGUGUGCCGUGGUGCCGCUUCCCGUUACUUUUGGACAGGUCCUGUUUUGUUCGCCUCUGGCGAGAGGACAGCUUCUGUAAGUUCCGCUGUUUGACUUUCUGCUGCUGAUUCCCAGUUAUUUCCUCAAAGGGCACAAGCCCAAACACGUCCUCGUUGCUUUCACUUUUGCUUACUGGUGCCGGGAAGGGCUGAAAAGGAGUGGAGCCAAACAUAUCCACACUUUCGGGACAAGCAGGUAGAGCAUGGGCCUCUGGCCCCACCGCCGGGCAGUCCUCUGCACUCACCUUCUUGCUGAAGGGUGCCUUGGUGAACACAUCAAAUUCUUCUUGCUCGUGUCCUACGGGAGGAAACUGGGUCUUCUGGGAAAGGUUCGUUCCGUCCUCUCCUGGGGGAAGUUGUUGAUCACGCGUGGCAAAGAAGGGGACAGCGCCGAAGACAUCAAACUCCUGUUUGGGAGUCUCCACCCCACCGCUGGAAGGCAGCUGGGUUGGGGUGAGGAGUGUUCCACUGGGAUCUUGGAUUUGUCUACCACCAGACUUGUCUCUGUAGACAGGGCUCCGGGCACUGUACUUGGCUUUGGCCUGCUCAUAAUCAGAAUCAGAACUAUGCUUUUCUUCUUCCUCUUCCUCUUCAGAAUCCAUAAGGAGUGGUCUAUGGCCCAGCGUUUCCGGUUCAAUAUCAUCAUCAUUAAAAUCCCCUUGCUCUCCCUGAAGAACGUCUUCAUCCUCUUGCUCUUCCUCUUCACUGCUCUUUGGAGAAGGAGGAUCUGAUUCAAAGUCACUUUCAGAUUCAUCGUUCCCUUUGUGCACCGGACCUUGUACUGAUGAAUUCUCUGGCAUUUUCUUCCCAGUCCGGUUCUCCGCAGAAACUGGACUUGUCUUUACAUUCUUGAUAGGGUUGACAGUGCUGUGUUCUGGAGCCCUGGAUAAAUGCUCAGCUUUCUUUUCAGGAGAACCUGUGAGUUCAAAGAAAAAGUAUUGUAACAUUCCGUUGCACUUCAAAAAAACCACUUGAACCAUAAGGUAUUACAAAUCUCCCAUACCAGUCUGGGGACAAAUAAAACUUUUUUUUUUUUUGUCCCCAGGCUUGGGUAAUGCACAUGUCCCUCAACUAGAUGGUUAGGUCCUCGUUCAGAGAGACUAACUCAUCUCGGUCCCCUACACAGUGCCAACUCAACAAAGACUCCCAUUGACAGCUCAAUUUUAUUACAGCACCACAACUAGGAUUCUUAACAUAGUACAUAAGCAAGUUUUCUUCUCCAACCACAAAAAUACCAUUCCACGAAUAUGGUAAAAAUACCCUAUCUCAUGUCCAAGCAACCCUCGGCUUAUAUUUCAAGUCUAUCAUGACUCUUUCCAUAAAGAGAGAUCAAUAAGCUUAAGUAGCUCAUCUACUUGGUUUACUCCAAUUUUUAAAAACCAAUCAAUUCUUUCUUUAUAACGAGUGUCUAACAAGUUUGGUUAACAUGAGUGCGUUCAGUACCUAUGAACCAGACAUUGAACUAGGCUAUACCAAAGACAACUAUCUUCUCUAGAUAAUAGCUAUUCUUCAAACUAUUGUGUCUCUACUACUGACAUGACAUUAAAGGCAUGCAGCCUUAAAAAAAAAAAAGAGUAACCAUCAGCAUGUUACAACAGCUUUACAACUUCACUGAGUAGUAUCACUGUAUAGUAUAAUACAAAAAGAUGGUAUAUUACAUGAACAAAUACAGGCUCACAACAUGUGCAUAUACUGCAUUGCUUUUCCAGAGACUGAUUGAUUUGUAUUGAUCCAACCACGUAGUCUCAUCUCUUCCCUUCCUUUGACUAAGACCAAGUAUUUUCAAGGCAUUUAGCUGAGGCUGGGGUAUAAUCUGAAGGUGUGAAAACUACCUACUUUGGAAGGAAAGGGCAUUACUUUCCCUCCAUUAGCAUGGACACUAUAGCAUGUGAUACCUCUGAAUAUUUCUCUCUGAAAAUUCAGUCUGUUAUCAUCCUUCUUCAUUGUUGUUCCUUCUUGCCAGAUUUUAUCAGACUUUUCUUUCACUUCCGCCUUGAAGGAGCCCUGGUAGCACAAUGAGUUAAGGCCCAAACUGCUAAUUGUAAGGUCGGUGGUUCAAAUCCAGGAGUCACUCCUCAGAGAAAAUGUAUUCGAUGGCGUCGGGUAUUCACUGAUUGGUGAAUAAAACUAACAUGGUCUCUGCUUUAAGGAGUUUACAAACAAGGUGGAGACAGGUGUAAAAGAGUAAACACAAAUCCAGGCCAGUGCUCUGAAAUAAAAACACACACCAAGCCAUGAGGAAAGAAAGGAAGAAAGGGGAUGGGUAUGUCAACCUACUAAGGAGAGUCCAUGACCAAGGUGAAGCCUGAGCACCUUCAUGGAGCCAGCCAAGCAAAGGACAAGCAGAAGAUGGACUGCAGUCAAAGCAGCAGUGAGGAUGAAGGCCAAUUCCAGGAGGAGGCUGGCAGAUAGGAGGGGCUGAAAGCAGCCGGAGCAUUGUGAGCAAGGGAGUACAAGAACAAGAAAGGGCCAGACCACAGAGGUCCCUGAAAGCCAUCUAUGUCAUAGGAAACCAUUACAGGCUUUACAGAAGGAUGCCAUGAUCAAAUUGAUAGUUUUUAAAAGAUGCCGGGGGGGCACAAAAGUGAGGAUACCAGGCAAGGGAAGAGGGCUGUACAGUGAUUCAAGUUGAUGUGACAGUGGCCUAGAUGAGGAUGGUGGAAGAAAGAAUUGAGGAGUGCAAAAGAGAAUUAAUGAUUGCAUUUAAAUUAAAGAUGGAUGGUGGCAGGUACCAUUAACACCAAACCAAAAACCAAAUUCACUACCAUCAAGUCAAUGCCAACUCAUUGGAACCAC